This 497-nucleotide ribosomal RNA is filed under the name uncultured bacterium. Its description in RNAcentral is "bacterial SSU rRNA". It matches the Rfam family "Bacterial small subunit ribosomal RNA", at positions 1 to 507 of the family's 1533-position model. The record is from RNAcentral.
CGAUAUCGACGUAGUUUGACUCCUGGCUCGAGAGAACCGCUGGCGGCGUGCUUAACACAUGCAAGUCGAACGGUGACGAGGAGCUUGCUCCUCCGAUCAGUGGCGAACGGGUGAGUAACACGUGAGUAACCUGCCCCAGACUCUGGAAUAACAGUUGGAAACAGCUGCUAAUACCGGAUACGAGACGGAGAGGCAUCUCUACCGUCUGGAAAGUUUUUCGGUCUGGGAUGGACUCGCGGCCUAUCAGCUUGUUGGUGAGGUAAUGGCUCACCAAGGCGACGACGGGUAGCCGGCCUGAGAGGGCGACCGGCCACACUGGGACUGAGACACGGCCCAGACUCCUACGGGAGGCAGCAGUGGGGAAUAUUGCACAAUGGGCGAAAGCCUGAUGCAGCAACGCCGCGUGAGGGAUGACGGCCUUCGGGUUGUAAACCUCUUUCAGUAGGGAAGAAGCGAAAGUGACGGUACCUACAGAAGAAGCACCGGCUAACUACGUG